GACGAACGCUGGCGGCGUGCUUAACACAUGCAAGUCGAACGGAAAGGCCCUGCUUUUGUGGGGUGCUCGAGUGGCGAACGGGUGAGUAACACGUGAGUAACCUGCCCUUGACUUUGGGAUAACUUCAGGAAACUGGGGCUAAUACCGGAUAGGAGCUCCUGCUGCAUGGUGGGGGUUGGAAAGUUUCGGCGGUUGGGGAUGGACUCGCGGCUUAUCAGCUUGUUGGUGGGGUAGUGGCUUACCAAGGCUUUGACGGGUAGCCGGCCUGAGAGGGUGACCGGCCACAUGGGGACGGAGAUACGGCCCAGACUCCUAGGGGGGACAGCAGGGGGGAAUAUUGAACAAGGGGGGGAAGCCUGAUGCAGCAACGCCGCGUGGGGGAUGACGGCCUUCGGGUUGUAAACCGCUUUCGCCUGGGACGAAGGGUGGGGGAGGGUAAUGGGUAAAGAAGCACGGCCUAACUACGUC
RNAcentral lists this ribosomal RNA (468 nucleotides) under uncultured bacterium. Its description in RNAcentral is "partial 16S ribosomal RNA". It matches the Rfam family "Bacterial small subunit ribosomal RNA", at positions 28 to 507 of the family's 1533-position model. The record is from RNAcentral.